RNAcentral lists this ribosomal RNA (1110 nucleotides) under Triticum aestivum (bread wheat). RNAcentral describes it as "partial small subunit ribosomal RNA". The record is from RNAcentral. Lineage: Eukaryota; Viridiplantae; Streptophyta; Magnoliopsida; Poales; Poaceae.
AUGCUCUACCGCGGUGAGUACGAGGAUUUGAACACUUGCCCGGUAUGUGGUGCAUUGCGCUAUAAGAUCAGCCGCGAUGAGCCUGGUGAUGUCGAGGGCGAGCGCCCCAGGAAGAAAAUUCCUGCCAAGGUGAUGUGGUAUUCUCCUAUAAUACCACGGUUGAAACGUUUGUUCCAAAACAAAGAGCAUGCCAAGGCGAUGCGAUGGCACAGAGAAUACCAUAAGAAAGACGGAAAGUUGAGAGUACCCGCUGACGGGUCGCAGUGGAGAAAAAUCGAAAGAAAGUAUGGGAAGGAGUUUGCAGAUGACGCAAGGAGCGUAUGGUUUGGUCUAAGUGCAGAUGGCAUUAAUCCUUUUGGGGAGCAGAGCAGCAACCAUAGCACCUGGCCUGUGACUCUAUGUUUGUAUAACCUUCCUCCUUGGUUGUGCAUGAAGCGGAAGUUCAUUAUGAUGCCAGUGCUCAUCCAAGGCCCUAAGCAACCCGGCAACGACAUUGAUGUGUACCUAAGGCCAUUAGUUGAAGAACUCUUACAACUGUGGAAUGGAACAGGUGUACGUGCGUGGGAUGAGCACAUGAGGGAAGAAUUUGACUUAAAGGCGUUGAUGUUCGUGACUAUCAAUGCUUGGCCUGCUCUCAGUAACCUUUCAGGACAGACAAACAAGGGAUACCGCGGAUGCACGCACUGUUUGGAUGAUACCGACAGUAUAUAUUUGAAUAGUUGUAAGAAGAAUGUGUACCUAGGACAUCGUCGAUUUCUUCCGAGCAGGCAUCCCGUAAGAAAGAAAGGCAAGCAUUUCGAAGGUGAGGCGGAUCACCGGACAAAACCUCGCCACCGUACUGGUGCUGAUGUACAUGAUAUGGUCAAGGAUUUGAAGGUGAUAUUUGGAAAGGGUCCUGGCGGACAACCUGUUCCGAAGGACGCGGACGGACGCGCACCCAUGUGGAAGAAGAAAUCUAUAUUUUGGGACCUGCCAUAUUGGAAAGACCUAGAGGUCCGCUCCGCAAUUGACGUGAUGCACGUGACGAAGAAUCUUUGCGUGACCCUGCUUGGCUUCUUGGGCGUGUAUGGGAAGACAAAAGAUACACCUGAGGCACGGGAGGACCAGUAA